Gallus gallus (chicken) is the source of this 481-nucleotide long non-coding RNA. RefSeq lists it as uncharacterized. The record is from RefSeq and is a predicted model, not a curated record. The transcript is spliced from 3 exons. NCBI's taxonomy places the organism in Eukaryota, Metazoa, Chordata, Aves, Galliformes, Phasianidae.
AGCAUGUGGACCAGUAUUUCCUUUCUCCCACAGAUCUGUCUUGGUAUGAUUUCUCUGGUGGAGGGAGUGAGCCUUGCACAUAAUUUGCCAGCACCACGGCAUAGACAGCAAGCACCACUUAAAACACAAAAUGGACUACAAGAUUUUAGUACACUGCUUGAUGACUAUUUGCAAAUAUCAAGAAUCAAAACAGUUCCCCACUGUGAAAGCUACCUUCAGCUCUUUUCAAGUGACACUGAUGUCAGUAGAUUUAGAAAGAGGAUAAUGACAGCCUUGAGAAACAGCUAUGAUACAAACCCGCAUUCUUACAGAACAGGUAGCUUAAACCUAGCAGCCUCAUCAACAAGAAUCCUGUAGUGCAAAAAAAAGGCUAAAUGCUUCCUUGGAGUUUCAAGGACCAAAGGAAUCAAUCACCACUAGUAUUUAACAUGACUUUUAGUCAAAGAAAAAUAUGACAUUCAUCCUGAAGUGGGAUUAAAGA